UAGUAUUCUGUCGGCCAGCGCUUUACUGCGCGGCCACAACCUCUACACAGUGAAGUAAUUUGUUUGCUUUAGUGCUUUGGGUGGAUGUUUGUCUGCCCAGAGUGCCCCCUAACCACACUUGUGAACCUUUGGCCUCUUGCCGGCUUCGGCUGGUGGAGGUUUUUUACACACACACUAGAAUGUAAUGAAAAGAUAUAUUGUAUGUGCGCAAGCACGAAUGUA
This 222-nucleotide unclassified non-coding RNA is filed under the name uncultured Sebacinaceae. Its description in RNAcentral is "sequence contains ITS1". Lineage: Eukaryota; Fungi; Basidiomycota; Agaricomycetes; Sebacinales; Sebacinaceae. The record is from RNAcentral.